UACGUAGGGGGCUAGCGUUGUCCGGAUUUAUUGGGCGUAAAGAGCUCGUAGGCGGUUUGUCGCGUCUGCCGUGAAAGUCCGGGGCUCAACUCCGGAUCUGCGGUGGGUACGGGCAGACUAGAGUGAUGUAGGGGAGACUGGAAUUCCUGGUGUAGCGGUGAAAUGCGUAGAUAUCUGGAGGAACACCGGUGGCGAAGGCGGCAUCCUGGACCGAGACUGACACUGAGGAGCGAAAGCCAGGGGAGCAAACGGG
Molecule: ribosomal RNA, 253 nt
Filed under: uncultured bacterium
Lineage: Bacteria
Description: partial 16S ribosomal RNA
Rfam family: Bacterial small subunit ribosomal RNA
Source: RNAcentral